This 252-nucleotide ribosomal RNA is filed under the name uncultured bacterium. RNAcentral describes it as "partial 16S ribosomal RNA". It matches the Rfam family "Bacterial small subunit ribosomal RNA", at positions 524 to 776 of the family's 1533-position model. The record is from RNAcentral.
UACAGAGGAUGCAAGCGUUAUCCGGAAUGAUUGGGCGUAAAGAGUCUGUAGGUGGCUUUUUAAGUCCGUCGUCAAAUCCCAGGGCUCAACCCUGUAAUGCGGUGGAGACUAUCAAGCUUGAGUAUGUUAGGGGCAGAGGGAAUUUCUGGUGGAGCGGUUAUAUGUGUAGAGAUCAGAAAGAACACCAACGGCGAAAGCACUCUGCUGGGAUGAUACUGACACUGAGAGACGAAAGCUAGGGGAGCAAAUGGG